ACACUAUUUACACACGUUAUGUAUAAGUACAGUAUGUACAUGUUUUAUUUACUAUAACUAUACAACUAAGCUGGUAUUGUGUCCAAACAGCUCAGUGGUCCUCAUACACUGCAUGACAAGUCACACAGUAGAUGACGCUACGAGUACGACACCACUUCCCUCACCAAAAUGGCUCCUCCCAACAUACUCCUGUUGCUGUUAUUACACUAUAUAUGCACGUUAUAUAUAUGUAUCUACAUUUGUGUUCACCAUAGCGAACCACUAAGCUGGUAUAAUGAGCCCAAACAAGAGUGGCUGUCACACACAGUGACGCUACCUUGAUUCACUUCUUCCUCACCAAAAUUCUCCUUCCACAAUACUAUGCACAGCGCUAAUUAUCACCACAUUACCCUAUUAUUACACCCAUACCAUCCGUACCCCCCUUUUUUUUGUUCUAGUUUUUAUCUUUCGUCUUACUGUUACCUGCUCCUCACCUCACCCCUUGCCUUACUUAUGCCUGUGCUUCCCUCACUCCCAUCACAAUUGACUUGAUAAUGAUCCAGGACAGCCAAAAACGUUGUUUUGUCUCUUCAUCUUCUAGUGUGUGGUAUGGUCAACAUUAUUCCUUAAUUGCUUAUUUCUCCAAAGUAAGCUAUUAUUCCCACAAACUUUGCUUUUGUAACUACUGGAUGCAUUGAAGUAUGAUGAGUAUGGGUGUUAGGUCAUUGUGAUGGAUCUCGGAUUUCCAAGGUGGUUUUGCAAAGUUUCCGUGCUAACUUUUGCCUUUGGAAUAGUCAGGACUCCAAGGCACAUUACAACAGAGGACCAAGUUCUCUGUGGAGAGGAAUAAUGCCAAGUGACAGCCGCUGGUGGAUCCCAAGCUGCUGCUCAGGCUUCCGCUACAUUCAAUGUUACGUUUUAUUCAUAUUUUUUUUUUUUUUUACUAACAUUAUAUGAAUGAGAAUAUGCAAAUUCGCUGUUUUUUUUUUCAUUGGAAAUAUAUAAAUUUAAAAAUAUAAUUAGCCUGGCUACAAAGUUUGAGGGGGAAUUUUAGCAAUUGUGUAUACUUUUUAGGCAUCAGCAAUAAGUAAAUAAGAUUCCCCAGGAACAAAACUUGUUACAUUGUGUAAUGAUUCUCUUGGCCAUUGCUUUAAGGAUGAGUGAGAGUUAACAUGAGCAAUGCCACUUAACCUCACUGUGACUGCUUACUGUUGUUGAGCGGUGACUACACCUUCACCUUGUAUUCCGUUAGCGUGUUAGAGGACCGACACACACAUACAUACACAAUGUUUUUACUCAUGCACAUGAUAUUCGGAAAAUCUUUGCAAAGCAGAAAAUCUUGUGGAUGUUUUAUGUACAAUUUCAAAAUCUACUAACUCAAUGAAACAUUUUCUUUCUUCUCUUCACUGUCUUGGCUACGUUCAUAAAUGAUAAAUGUCAACGUUCUGUGAUUUUCAUUUUUUUUUUGUAUUCCUUUCCCCAAACAAAGACCAUUUUAAUUACAAAAUAUAUAUAUAUUAGUUAUUUUACACACAUGUUAGAUGAAGUACAGUAUAAGAAAUUUACAGAUAUUUCUUAUGAAGUGGAGUCCUUUUAACAAUGUCGUGUGUCAAAGCUUGCUGCUCCAUGGUCAUACAUAAGCCAAUGUUCUCACGUGCGUCUACAAGGUCACUGACUGGCCCACAGCAGAGCGUCUACAAGGUCACUGACUGGCCCACAGCAGAGCGUCUACAAGGUCACUGACUGGCCCACAGCAGAGCAUCCUGGUCAGUCAAGAGUGCCACAAGUGCUCAAGAUUGCCAACAUUUCCACUACUGCCUUUAUGGACAUUUUUAAAUUCCCAACAAGGAAAUGCACCUCAUCUUUUCUUGUGACUGAGUCGCAAGCGCUUGUAUGUACUGCUAUUUCACUUGUCUUAAUAUAUAUAUAUAUAUCUAUAUAUAUAUAUAUGAAUAUGUACUAUAUGAUCUUUGUGGUGUAAAUAUUAAUUUAGCUCACUGUAAUUAUUUAAUUUGACAGCCUCAAUGAAUAAAUAUUAUUGAUCCAAA
Non-coding RNA from Procambarus clarkii (red swamp crayfish), 2027 nucleotides. NCBI's taxonomy places the organism in Eukaryota, Metazoa, Arthropoda, Malacostraca, Decapoda, Cambaridae. The record is from RefSeq and is a predicted model, not a curated record.